This 2827-nucleotide small RNA is filed under the name Rattus norvegicus (Norway rat). Its description in RNAcentral is "uncharacterized LOC102548180". Lineage: Eukaryota; Metazoa; Chordata; Mammalia; Rodentia; Muridae. The record is from RNAcentral.
UAAUGAUGCCCUCCUCCAAAAUGACUGUAAGAGCCCUUGCCAGAGGUUUCCUGAACGGUCAGCAGGACCUUGACCUUGAAAGCAGAAGUAUGUGUGCUUGCAUGAGCGUGUAUGUUUGCGCGCGCAUGUGUGUGUGGCAGUGAAGACAGGAGAAUCUGUGUGUGGAUUCAUCAUCCCAGUCUCUGCUUGAAGGGAAAUUGCUGGCACUUCAGGAUUGAGAAACACCAUGAAGAAUGUGAGGGCCUUCUCUGUGAUGCUUCUCUACCUCCCUUCACAAGGAAUUAUGGGAAACUCACCAUGACCCUGGACCUGCACGAGGAGGAAAACAGACAGCUGCAUACUUCAUCUUUUGCUCCAAGCCCAAGGUUGAGCAGAACUGUCAAGACCUGUUGAAAAAAAUGUUCCUUACUUUGUGAGGGUUGGGAAACUUCUCACAAAGCUUUUCUAUGAAGAUGACUAUGACAAAUGGAGACAAAAGGCUGGAAAAUGAGGCACCAAGGUGAGGUUUCUGUGAAAGGUUAGGAUUUCUCAGCUGUUACAAGCAUCAGCGGAAAGAGAAGCAGGUGGCCAACCCCUGCUUUCUACUCACAAACAUUUUAAGUGGGUCAUAACUCCCUGUCUGUGAGGAGGUCCUGUAGUGUUUCUAGCGCAUACAGCUUAGUGUGCCAGCACCAACUCUCCUAACCAAAUGGGAACACCACUUUGCUAGCGACUGCCAGUGUAGGCUUUGGAGGCAGGAGACUGGUUGAGUCUUUAACUGAAAUAACUGCUGGAGAGGCUGCCUGGGCUUGAUUGACAUGAGGUUAUCAAUGGAAAGUGUCUCACGUUGUUUCUGAUAACCAAGGCCCAGCAUGAAGGAGUUAUCUUUGCCAGACCUGCAAGGUGGGAAGUCUUGGCAACAGCUCUGGGCGAAACCAAGAACAAGAUGACGCCAAGAUGUUGGUUUCUCUUGAGGGGGUGCAUAUCAGAGAUGCGUGGCCUUUGGGUGGUGUUUGACAUAAAAGGAAAAGAAGAACUGUGUCCUACUCAGAGGACAUGGAAAGGAUGAAGAAGGAGGCGGUCCCAUCUGUUUCCACAUUGAGGUAGUUGUGGGACUCAAACUCAGGUCUUCAGGCUUGACAGCAAGCGCCUUUACCAGUUGAGCUAUUUCAGGUCCUGGGUUUUUACUCAUUACCGCCCUAGGAAACCACAUGUACCCAGCCUCUAGUUUCCCAUGUAGCUUUACCAUUCUACCAAGAACCCUCGUGGUAGAGUUUUAGAUCACAUAACAGAGCUGCAUGCUCCAUUACUUCCAUAAUGAUGCCCUCCUCCAAAAUGACUGUAAGAGCCCUUGCCAGAGGUUUCCUGAACGGUCAGCAGGACCUUGACCUUGAAAGCAGAAGUAUGUGUGCUUGCAUGAGCGUGUAUGUUUGCGCGCGCAUGUGUGUGUGGCAGUGAAGACAGGAGAAUCUGUGUGUGGAUUCAUCAUCCCAGUCUCUGCUUGAAGGGAAAUUGCUGGCACUUCAGGAUUGAGAAACACCAUGAAGAAUGUGAGGGCCUUCUCUGUGAUGCUUCUCUACCUCCCUUCACAAGGAAUUAUGGGAAACUCACCAUGACCCUGGACCUGCACGAGGAGGAAAACAGACAGCUGCAUACUUCAUCUUUUGCUCCAAGCCCAAGGUUGAGCAGAACUGUCAAGACCUGUUGAAAAAAAUGUUCCUUACUUUGUGAGGGUUGGGAAACUUCUCACAAAGCUUUUCUAUGAAGAUGACUAUGACAAAUGGAGACAAAAGGCUGGAAAAUGAGGCACCAAGGUGAGGUUUCUGUGAAAGGUUAGGAUUUCUCAGCUGUUACAAGCAUCAGCGGAAAGAGAAGCAGGUGGCCAACCCCUGCUUUCUACUCACAAACAUUUUAAGUGGGUCAUAACUCCCUGUCUGUGAGGAGGUCCUGUAGUGUUUCUAGCGCAUACAGCUUAGUGUGCCAGCACCAACUCUCCUAACCAAAUGGGAACACCACUUUGCUAGCGACUGCCAGUGUAGGCUUUGGAGGCAGGAGACUGGUUGAGUCUUUAACUGAAAUAACUGCUGGAGAGGCUGCCUGGGCUUGAUUGACAUGAGGUUAUCAAUGGAAAGUGUCUCACGUUGUUUCUGAUAACCAAGGCCCAGCAUGAAGGAGUUAUCUUUGCCAGACCUGCAAGGUGGGAAGUCUUGGCAACAGCUCUGGGCGAAACCAAGAACAAGAUGACGCCAAGAUGUUGGUUUCUCUUGAGGGGGUGCAUAUCAGAGAUGCGUGGCCUUUGGGUGGUGUUUGACAUAAAAGGAAAAGAAGAACUGUGUCCUACUCAGAGGACAUGGAAAGGAUGAAGAAGGAGGCGGUCCCAUACAGAAUAACAAUAGACACAAGAAGGCUGGGCUUGUCGGUUCACACCUGGAACCGCAGAGGAGCAGAUCGAGAAACGGAACAGCAAAGACCGGAGUUUUAGAAAAUGAAAAGACUGCAGCUUGUGUCUAGUUGGCCCUAACAAGACAGCUGUGAUGUCAGGCUGCUAAGAGUGGAAGAGUCCUGGCAAAGACAAAAUGGAAUAGUCCACGAGAAGCAUUCUCUCAGCACAGCGGCAAUCAGGCUUCAUAAGAGAAAAAGCAGCAAGGGUUUCUAGGUACAGGCCAUGAGACGAGGGUGUGAGAUUCCUGGCUUCUGACGUUUCCUGUGCUCCUUCCUUGAUCAUUGCUUCAGGCACGGGUGCUUCAUCAGAGUCCUUCCAUCUCUUUCCAGCUGUGAUGGGCAAGGAGGCCUCGCACAGCUGCUCUUGCUGGGCGAGAGUCCACAAUUAAAGGCAUCACUGCUCCCA